AGCUCAACCUGAAAACAUAAUUAUAAGAUGCUCUAAUUUAUUUGUCACAAUGUUUUCUACAUAUAGUUAAAUACUAAAUUGAUUAAUAUCGUUGCAUCUAGUUUGUAAUUAAAAAUCAAUAUAGAUUUUAUACUUAUGUAUUUUAUAUAAAUGUUAACAUGAUUAAUUGCAAACAUAACCAUAUUUCUAAACUAUAAUUGUCC
This 203-nucleotide long non-coding RNA is filed under the name Sorghum bicolor (sorghum). RNAcentral describes it as "long non-coding RNA (SBIC_LNC008248)". The record is from RNAcentral. Lineage: Eukaryota; Viridiplantae; Streptophyta; Magnoliopsida; Poales; Poaceae.